CGUCUUCCUCUCGCCGCUCCAACCCCAGGACCCCCAGGUACGCGCGGCGCGCCUCCUCUUCCCCUCCGCUAGCUCCUCUCGAACUGGUUGCGCCGCUGCUUUCCCCAUUUGGUUGACCUCCGCGCGGCGGCUGACCAGCCUCCAACGCGUCAUGCCGGGGUUGUUUUUUUUUUUUUUGGUGGGGGUGGGGGUGGUGGGGGGGGGGGGUUGGGGGUGGCUUUUCGUUAUGUUUGUUAGCUCACUAGCCGUGUGAUUGGAUCAUUGGAAAUCUGUAAUAGCAGUGUGGUUAGCAUAUAUUUUCUGGGGGAUUUUGUGCCGGAGUCCGCCAUUCGGCUGUUGGUUGCGCGUCAAUGGGGAAAUCAGUACAUUGGCUAGUACUCCGGAAAAUUUGGCAUUGAAGAGAGUUUUGCGAAUUGGUUCUGGACUUCCCACGGGAACUACAAGUGAUUUCAUCAUGAUAUAGAGUAGUACCAGGAUGGCCGGAUGGGAUGGUUAACUCUACCAUGAAGUUGCCAACUGCUAGUAAAUUUAGGUGGUGUUUUCAGACAGUGAGGAGUUGGGGGGGAUUCGGAGAUCCACUAACUCAUAAAAAAACUCGACCGGCGGGGGAAUGACCGUCCCCGUGGCUUUUCAUUAAUAAGAACAGGCCUCAACCAAACUGGAUGAGAAAAGGCAUGAACCCUGCACCCCCCCCCUCCCCCCAACACCCCACACGCGGACUCGCCCCCUAUGGAUUGGUCCUUAACCUGUACUUUGAGGCUCCUUUCUUGUACACAAGGCCCGCUCUCCAUAGGUCGAUUCAUAACAUGUGUUUUUACGAGAGGCCAGCGAGUAACAUUUUUUUUAAGUAGGCCUAAAAUUCGCUCUCGAGGAAAGUCGAACCCAGGAUCUAGAGGUGCUACUUGAGCAUUGUGACCGCUAGACUACAUGCCCUUUCACAGGCCCACUUGCUCAUGCUAGAAGAGUCGUUGAACGCCUUCCUCCUUGGUUUGUGUCUUGGUUCUACUGUCUUGCUAAAAUCCCAGUGAUUUCACUGCUUCAAUGAACUAUUAAAGGAAAAUUAGAAGUUCGAAUAACAGAAUGGUGAAUUGGUUUAAAUCAAGGUUUGAGAUUUCGGAUUUGUGAGUGGGUCCCAGCAGAAAAUGUCUCUGGCCAAAAAUUCCAAGUUUGUAUUUAUUUAGCGAAAAGUUGUUCAAUUUGAAAAAAAAAAUCUGAAAAUUUCGUUUAACAGUUGCUUGCAUUCCAUUUAAUUUUUCAUUGUUAUGUGAUUUUGCAACAUCCAUACAAGAGUACUUAGACUCAACACCUUACAGAACGGCUCACUUCACCAGUAACUUAGGCUCACAACCAUGCACCCACAGCAUUAAGGAUACUUGCAACAAAAGCUCAUAAAAGAGACACAAAGCAUUAAAAGUUCGAGUAACAGAAUGGUCAAUUGGUUUGCCUCAAUUUUUGAAAUUUCGGAUUUACCAGUUGGUCCCAGCAGAAAAUGUCUCUGGCCCAAAAUUGCAAGUCUAUUUAUUUAGCGAAAAGUUGUUCAGUUUGAAAAAAAAAAUCUGAAAAUUUGUUUUUGCGGUUGCUUGCAUUCCGUUUAUUUUUUUCGUUCUGAAAUGUAAAAACCCUGGUUUACUAGACAUAGAUGAACGUGAUAGUUACUAACCAUUACUCCAGUAUACAGUCACUAAAUUAUUCAGAUAACACUAUUACCAUGCAUUAUACUAGACAUUCUAUGAGUAGCUGGCAGGAUCAUAUUCUUCCACAAGGUUUUGUAGAAAUGCCGGUAUUGGGGGCAACACGACAUCUCGAGUGCCCUGCAAGAUAUGAACUAUCUGCUGCAUUGUUGGUCUAUGAGCCUCGUUGUCCUGAAUGCACCAACAUGCAACCUUGCAUGCUCUCUCCAGCUCUUGAACAUUCGUGUCAUGCAUUCUAUGAUCAAAUACUUCAGAAAUGUCACCAUUGCUUAUCCUGACUGCAGCCCAGACAGGAAAGUACUUUAUAGUUUUACUCUCCAUCAAUUCUGUGUUCCUUUUGCCUGAAAUUAUCUCAAACAACAUCAUUCCAUAGCUGUAGACAUCUGCUUUUGACGUGAUGGGAAGACCUGCGAUCCAUUCCGGUGCAAGAUAUCCUAUUGUUCCUCUCAUAGUUGUUAGUGCCCGACUAAAAUUCCGAUCCAUAAGCUUAGCAAGACCGAAAUCUGCCACUUUUGGGCUGAAGUCCGCAUCAACAAGUACAUUUUCUGGUUUUAUAUCACAAUGUAUGAUGCAUUCAUGGCAUUCCUCAUGGAGAUAAUGUAAUCCUUUUGCAACACCUAGAAUAACUUGGAAUCUUGUGUACCAGUCCAACACCUUCACAUUAUUAAAAAGGUGACAAUCUAGAGAACCAUUUGUUGGCAACUUUUUUGACAAGUCGACGAGCACGAUCGCAACACCUAAACGCCUUGCGGUGAUAUGGAGUCGCCAACCACCUCGAUCUAGCCAAAGGGCCAAAUUAAGAUGGGUUUCGGAGAAAAACAACUAAGGCCCUCUUUGUUUAGGCUUAUAAGCCAACUUAUAAGUCGAAAAGUCUAAGCCAAAACAAACAAGCAGCUUUUUCAUUUGGCUUUUUUAAGCCAUAAGCCACUCUAACACUAUUAAGCCAAAAGCUAGGUUGGAGAAGCUUUUUUUGGCUUAUAUGAGAUAGAUGUAUGACUCUACCAUUAAACUUAGGACAUUAAAUCCACUGGCUUAUAAAUCAUAUAAGCCAAUAAGCUGACUUAAAAGUCUAGGCCAAUAAGCCUAAGCCUAAACAAAGAGGGCCUAAACCGGCUAGCGGAGCCGAUUUAGAGAUCAAAAUCAGCCUCUAGGCCGAUUUAGAUCGAUAUGAGGAUAACUACCCGUCUCGUGGGCAAAACGGAAGGUUUUCAGGACAAACCUACAAAGAGGUGUCGCACUCUCGCAGCGGCGGCGGACGGUUUACAGCGCAAACCGACAAAGAUGGACUAAACUAGGGUAAAAUAGAAAACAUAGUAAAAGAACGAUUCAAGUAAAUUGUAUUCGGGGGUUUUACAAUGAACCGGCGGCCUUGUCCCUUAAAUAGGGGGUUGGUCUUGCCCUCUACAGGCCCUUCUCCACGUCCAACUCGGGAUAGAAACUAAAGGAAACACGAAACAUGCCUUCCCGAGCAAGGAAACCUGAGACCCGACGAAAACAGACUCGGACUCGGACCCUGCCGGUCUGACCGCCUACAUACCUGCGGUCAGACCGGCCCUACUAGCCGGUCAGACCGCCCACACACCUGUAGUCUGACCGCCCUGUGAAGGAAACCUGUCACUUUCCAAACUUUGGCAAUCUUCCCCUAUUUCGUCCAUAGGUGCCAAAUUUGGGUGUAAACACAUGCCCCCCUGCCUUUUUGGUGAACAUACGUGAACCUAAAAGCAUAGAACAUGUUAUCUCAGGGCGAUAAUCCAAUUACUGGCCAUAGGACUUCCUAAGCAUCUUGCCAAAUGCUCGGGAAGCAUUUCUUCAAGUAUUUCCCAUUAAUUGAUAUCUGAAAACACCAUCUUGAAGUGUCUUCAUCUCCUUCAAAGUCUUCAAACGCUCGUCGAUGACAUCUUCAAAAAUUGCUUCCCAUCAAGGUCUUAUAAUCUUCAACCGACAAGUCGUCUUGCUUGAAAUACCGAAGAGAGCCAAGAUUUACCUCAACUGGCAAAACGGCAAUUUCAACAAUGUUUUAUUACUCGACUCGGCUUAUCCAUUAACCUGAGUGUAAGAACUCAACAACUUAAUAUCAUAAGAUUCGGCAAUACUUCUCACUUCCUUGGACAUAAAAGAAGCUCCUUUAACGUUUGAGGAAUACCGAAUCUAUGAACAAUAUGCUUCAAAAUAGAGUCAAUUACCUCCGUACAAGUAAUAUUCUCGAGCGGCACGGCUUCGGCCCACUUAGUAAGUAAUCCAUUGCAACUAGCACGAACCAAUGCUCUUUUGAUGACGAAGAAUAAAUUUGACCAAUGAAAUCCAAAGCCCAACCUCGGAACGGCCAUAGUUUAAUGAUAGGAUUCAACACAACGGUAGGCGCUAGUUGAACAUUGCCAAUCCGUUAACAAGCUUCACUCCCUCUAUAGCAUUUGAAACAAUCAUCAAUUAUUUUCGGCCAAUGAAACCCCACUCUCCUAAGCAACCAAUUUAUCUUACGGGCCGAUUGAUGAAUUUCACAAAUCCCUUCAUGUACUACUCUCCUAGCAACUUCAGAUUGAUCAUUAUCUAAGUAAUACUCCAUCUAUUUUUCGGUGAUAUAAUAUUUGAACGCUUGCCGCCGAAUCUUCCGAUCAACCUUAAGUGUAGGAUCUUUCAAAUAUCUAAUCAAAGGAAUUCUCCAAGCUAUUUCUAACUCAUGGGCACAAAUGUUCGAAUUCACAAUUAAUUUGGCCUUUUAAUCAAUUGUAACGUGCCCCCCAGCCUCCUGUCUGGGAUCGGUCAGACCGGCCACGCAAUGCCGGUCAGACCACCCUGUCUGCCCGGUCAGACCGGCUAUGCAGAGCCGGUCAGACCGCCGGUACCACCGGUCAGACCGGCCGUGCAAUGCCGGUCAGACCGCCCUUGGUCUAUGACUUUGCCAAUUUCGUCCAAACUUUUAAAAUCAAGCAUCGGCCUUUAGUAUAUAAUUUUUCUUCACAUAAUAGCCAGAUGCUUGGUGUAUCAAAUUAUUGGACCAAAAUUCCUCCUCUCUAGACAUAUGAAAAACUAUAACAUCCAACUAACAUGUCUAGAUGAAUACUAAUUCAAAUGGCUUUUGAAACAAUAAUCAUCAUGGCAUCAAAACACUUAGCCAAUUGAAUAAUGAAUCACCAAAGUCAUAUGCCUCACACACAUGAAUUCCAAUAAACUACAAAUGUAAGUAAUCGGCUUGAGCAUGUAUGCAAAAUAUUAAUAAUGCCAAUGUUUCUAAAGAAAACAACUCUAGAAUAAAUCAUCACAUUGACCAUUGACAUUAGCCGAAUUACUAAUAAGCAAAACUUUCAUGGUGCAAUAAUUAUAAAAUCUAUAUCUUAUAUGGUGAUCCAUAAAAACACAUACAAUUUGGCUUUAAAUAAAUAUCAAAGACUCGUGAACCAAAUCAUACUUAAAACAAAUUAUAUGCCAACCUACCAAUUCCACUACUUAGAACUGGCAUUUGCAACAUGUAUGUAUAAUAUCAAUUUGAUAAGCAAACAACACACAUGUGCUAGAUAGUAAGCAAUGUUCUAACAUGGCAUAGGCAUAUAAUAUAAUGUUAAACACAAAAAAACCCAUACCUUGCCUUAGCAUCCGACAAACGGCGGCUCAAAGAUGUGAUGUUGUAUCCAUCGCCGUUCAUCUCUCUUGAUUUCUUCAUAAGCAUAUUAAUGUCUUGCCCCCCGAGCAAAAUCGGCUUUCUUGAUUGCACGAUUUCAAAGGCAAGACGAACACCGCACCAACAUCCAUAGCAUCAUGUGAAGGAGACUUAUCUCUAAUGACCGAUGAUUCUUCUCUCAUCAUAUUGGAUUUAUCACUACUUUGGGAAAUCACCGAUCUCUUACCUUUUACUUCUUUAGGUCUCCACACUCGCUUAGGUGUCGUUCGAGGCUCUAAAUUAUUACAUGUUUUGUUCUCCACAUCUUCGGCCUCCUUUUCUUUUUGACCUAUGGCCCGAAGACGCUGAAGCCUCCUCUUUUGAGAGCGAGAUAAGCCGGAAGGUAUCCACUUCAGCUGUGGUUGUUUUCCAGGAGCCAAAUGAUGAUUCUUCAUAUUUUUGGUCGAAGUGGAAGCUCCUGUGUUGCUCUCAAUUUUCUCACUCUUCUCUAAUGCCCCCCGGUCAGACCGGCCUCUAGGCCCGGUCAGACCGGCUACAAACCGUCGAUCAGACCGGCCAGGAAGGUCGGUCAGACCGGCCGUUGUCUGGCGGUUAGACCGGCUAGCUGUUUUGGUCAAGCCGCCGAUGUUGACAGUAACGGCGUCGGCUUCAGUCUUCUCCGCUUGUAUAGUUUUCGGCGCAUCUCCAGUAGGUACAUGAACAUCUUAAGAUUCCUCAUUGAUAGCAACGACCUCCGGAGCUUUGGCUUCUUUCCUCACCCACACCUUCACCUUUUUCACCUUUGAUCCACCGGACCGAUUCUUUUGUGGGAAACGGUCUUGUCUUGAGUUAGAUGAAUGACUUGAUGUUGACCUAGGUGAUUCCUUCCACUCUUGGUAAUACGGCAUAGGUGGUUGAUGCAUCCAAGGCAUGUAAUACAUAAAAGGAUAACCAUAUAGUGACAUUGGAUAUGGAUACCAUGGCAUCACAACCGGAGGUUUGUAUGGAGUUGGUAUAGUUGAUGGCUCCGAUUGCUUUGGUAUUUGACCAAAUCUCUUCCUACAAGAUGAUCUUGGUCUUUUUGAAUCACUAGUUUGAUUAUCAAGUCGUUGACCGGCUAAUCCUUUAUUGUACUUAGCCAUAAGCAUCUCAAAAGUGAGCUUCGGCUUUUUGGUCCUUUGGAAACUAGAUGACUCAUCCUUUGCAUCUUUAUGAUCUUCGGCCUUCGCAUUUUUGAUCCUAUUCUUGGGCCGAGGAUCCCCAAUAAUAACACGUCUCCCUUUCUUUUUGUCAACAUCAAUAGGACUAACAGAGAGAGGAUCACUAACAACUCCGGUCUUAGGCAUAGAUGUAACCGAAAUAAUUUCACAAGUGACCGAUGAAUCAUCAACCGGUCUUUUCUCCAUCAAGUUUGCAUCUUUAAAAUAAUCAUGAAACUCAUGCUUCAUUUGUGACCAUGUAGAAAUUGAACUAGGAGCAAGCAAACUAUACCAUGUAGAUGCAAAGUUUGACAAAGAAAGAGAAAACAACUUUAACUUACGCAAAUCAUCGCUACCGGCCUUACCGCAUUGAUCAAUAAAGCGGUCGAUAUGCUCCAUUGUAGUCAUAGCAUUCUCACCUGUGAAUUUCGUGAAGUUGGGCACCUCAAAUCCUUGCGGGUAUGGAACUGAAUCUACAUGUUCAGGAUACGGCCUUUGAUAUAUAUGCAUGGCUACUUUGGAUUCUAUUUCACUACUAUCCCGCAAGACAUUGUCAUCAUCUUUUCCAACAUCUACAUGACCGAUUUGUGACUCGGUCUUAGGUGACAAUGCUAUUUCACUUUCGCUUGUAAUACAAUCCGAACCGUCAUUUAGUUCGGCUAUAUCUUCAAUGAUGCUAUUCUCUAAGCUAGCAAUACAAUCCGAACCACCACUUGGUUCGGCUAUUCCAUCGUUGUCUAAACUAGUAACACAAUCCGAACCAACACUUGGUUCAGCUAUAAUGGUUGUUGCAUUAUUUUCCAAGCUAGCAAGACAAUCUGAACCAACAUUUGGUUCGGCUAUAAUCGUUAUGGCAUCAUUGCACAAAUCAUUAACACAAUCCGAACCAUCGCUUGGUUCGGCUAUACAUGAUAUUGCAUUAUCAUCUAAACUAGCAUUUAAGCUAUUGUCAUCCACUCGGCUUUCCUGAGCCGGAGCUUCAUGCAACACAUGAUCAACAUCAAGAAAUAUCUGGCCAUUCAACCUCUCUUUAAUAGAAUCAAGCAAUCCAUCAUAUGCAAUGUCGGCCAAAUCUUUGUCAGUUAUUUUCAAGCUAUAACAUCGGUUUUUAACAUCUCUAAACCUUUCAAUAUAAUCAGCAACAGAUUCAUUGUAUUUGUGCCUAACCGAUGUUAAAUCAGACAACCUAAGCUCAGUCUCACUAGUGUGGAAAUAAUCAUGAAAUUUUUGUUCUAAUUGAGCCCAGGAAAAAAUAGAAUUUACCGGUAAAGAAGUAAACCAUGUAAAAGCAGUACCGGACAAAGAUAAAGAAAACAAGCGCAAUUUAAAAGUAUCACUAUUAGCCUCUCCACAUUGCGCUAAAAAUUGACCUACAUGCUCCCAUGUGGUCCUACUAUCCUCACCACUAAAUUUGGUAAAUUUGGGAACUCUAUAACCACGAGGAUAUGGCACAUUAUCAUAAUAAUUAGGAUACGGCUUUUGGUAAACCUUAGCACGAUUCCUAGUUUCAAUCCCAAAUUUAUCCCUAAUAAUCUCACUAAUUAUCUCCUCCAUAUUAUCAGGCCUAUGUUGAAUUGGUGGUGGAUUUGGUGGCCUAAUAGGUUGUGUUUGUGGCGCAAUAUGAUUAUAUUGGCCUUGCCUAGUAUCGUGAGAAUAUCCUCUAGCAACAUCAUUAUAAGUAUUAGGAACAUGCGGGGGAACUUGGGGAUUAGUUGUAGCAGUAGAUACAGGAGGAUCAAAUGUUCUAAGAUGAUACAAAUAACUAGCAUUAGUCAUUGGAUCUAUCCCCUGAAUCGGUAUGAUUGUGCCGGUCUGACCGGUCCAGGGCUCGGUUUGACCGACAUCCAGAGGCGCGGUCAGACCGGCCUGAGUCCCGGUCUGACUGCCGGGGUAAUAUCCAGUCGGACCGGCCGUUUGGCCGGUCGGACCGACGGUGAAAUCGCGGUCUGACCGGCCAUCAGGUUCGGUCGGACCGGCUAUAUGCGCUGCUCCAUCGGUUCCACUACUUGUUUGAUCUAUAGGAGCUUGACUAGCAGUGGUAGAGGCUUUAUUUUUAAACAUGUAAUCGGCCAUAAGAGGGCCGAAUUUAAAUCUUAAAAACUCAUCAAAUUUACCCUCAAAAGUUGCAUCUAACUUAUCUUUAAAAACAGUCAUGGAUGAAUCUAUUGUAGAUGCUACUUCUUGUUGGAUAGAUUGUGUUACCUUCGGUGAAACUGCAACUUGAGGUAGCGGCACGUUUCCUUUCAUGACGUCUUGAUCGGUCUUGAUGUAUUGUGUAGCAAUAUUGUUGAACCGUUCCCGCUCGUCAUAGUUAAUGAAGAAAUUCCUUGAUUAAAUCCGGCCAUAUAGCUCAUAGCCGAAAUAUUUGACCGAAUAAAUUAAUACACGGUCUUGGAAUUUUUUCUCUCGCGAUGAGCAAUGUGUGCACUAAUUAAUUCCACCAAAAUCAACAGAUAAACUUUGCUUUGUCUCUCUGUAGAUCGGCUCUGGUAUAGCCUGAUCUUUUUGAUCUAUGCACGUAUACAGUAAUAAAAGGAAACAAUGCUCCUGCUGCUUGUCUCUCGGCAGAUCGGCUCUAGUAGCCUGAUCUUUUCCUCUGUUGCCAUGUGAAACAAAAGGAAAGGAGGUUGCCGAGUCAGCUACUGCUCCCUGAUGAUGAUCUUCAGUACACACGGCAAGUGUUCAGAUGGAUUCGGUGACGACCAAAUAACCUCGCCGCCGAUUAGAUUAAUCCGGCGAUACUAGAUUAAUUUCGGCCGUUUAGCCGAAACUUGGAUUUGACGAAACGGUAGCUACUAGAUUAAACGAAAUUCGGCCGUGAUAUGGCCGAUUAGAUCGUUCCCCAGUGGAGUCGCCAAAAAUCGUGUUGGCAACUUUUUUGACAAGUCGACAAGCACGAUCGCAACACCUAAACGCCUUGCGGUGAUAUGGAGUCGCCAACCACCUCGAUCUAGCCAAAGGCCAAAUUAAGAUGGGUUUCGGAGAAAAACAACUAAACCGGCUAGCGGAGCCGAUUUAGAGAUCAAAAUCAGCCUCUAGGCCGAUUUAGAUCGAUAUGAGGAUAACUACCCGUCUCGUGGGCAAAACGGAAGGUUUUCAGGACAAACCUACAAAGAGGUGUCGCACUCUCGCAGCGGCGGCGGACGGUUUACAGCGCAAACCGACAAAGAUGGACUAAACUAGGGUAAAAUAGAAAACAUAGUAAAAGAACGAUUCAAGUAAGUUGUAUUCGGGGGUUUUACAAUGAACCGGCGGCCUUGUCCCUUAAAUAGGGGGUUGGUCUUGCCCUCUACAGGCCCUUCUCCACGUCCAACUCAGGAUAGAAACUAAAGGAAACAUGAAACAUGCCUUCCCGAGCAAGGAAACCCGAGACCCGACGAAAACAGACUUGGACUCGGACCCUGCCUGUCAGACCGCCCAUAUACCUGCGGUCAGACCGGUCCUACUAGCUGGUCAGACCGCCCACACACCUGUGGUCUGACCGGCCCUGUGAAGGAAAUCUGUCACUUUCCAAACUUUGGCAAUCUUCCCCUAUUUCGUCCAUAGGUGCUAAAUUUGGGUGUAAACACCAUUUACCAUAAAUUUAUAUACCAGAAGCCUUUCAGCUCCUCAAGCAAAACCCCUCGAGGCAAACCAGAUUUGUGUGGUGAAUUCGUCCUAAGGCCCUCACCUCAGUUUGAAAUUGCUUCUCGCGUUGCCUCAUUCCUUGAAGCUUCUUUACAGCUAUCAUUUGAGAGUUUGGGAGUGAUCCUUUGUACACUGAACCAAAACUACCUUGCCCCAACUUAUCUGAGAAAUUCUUUGUGCAGUGCUGUAAAAAAGAGUAACUGUAUAGGAUGAGAGAAUCAUCAUUGGAGAAAGCCUUUUGAGUUGCAUUCCUUUUUCGAAACGUCCAAAUUAUUGCACCAAAAGCACAUAGUGCAACAAAGGUACUUCCCAGCACUGCAAUUAGCCUCAUAUGAUGUGUCUUAUGUUCAUUGUAUUGAACUUGAAGAUCAGAUGCUGCAAGACGUACAUAAAUAUCAAUAGCAUCAACAUUACCAGCAGACAAUUGUUUAAGAUCCCGGAGCUCACUAUUCCAAACAAUGCAUUCAUGUUGAUGUGCAUAUGCAGUACAAAUGCAGUUGUUCAGGCAUAUGGAUCUGCACUCCUCCUCGCUUUGAACAUUCAAUUGCAUUGGAUUGCCUGGAACUUUGAUGUUGGCAAUCUUGAGAAAUGCAUGCUUCUCUUGUUGGCCAUUAUGUUUAUUAGAGUCAACACAAGAGAUAUCUGUUUUCCUAACACAACCUUGAUUCCAUGCUCCAAGAUCCCAGCUCCUCGAGGAAACUGGCCUGAAACCUGGCAGGCAAUAGCAUUUCUCAUCAAAACCUGUUUUGCAGACUCCAAAAGGCCCACAGACUGAAUAAACAGCACACAGAGCUGCAGGUAGAGACCAUUGUACUAUCCAUUCCUCUGAUUUGUUGGACCAUGUAUGGCAUUGGAGUUGACCGUUAACGGUAAGAACUAUUCUUGUGAUUAUGGAUACAUCCUUUGUGGUGUAUAUAAACUUGAGCUGGUGACUAUUAUUAAUGAAAACAUAAUUGUAUUCAGUAUUUAGUGGCAUUCCAGGGAUCGAUGUGAAUGCUUGUCCUGUCCAGUUCCCAGACUGCCAAUAAACUUUAGAUUGAUUCCAGAGAGAGACAUAUUGGUUCAAUCUAAUUAGAUCUACAUGGUUGGAGAAAGGACCUGGUGCAGGAUCUUCUGGAUCUUUCCAAGAAACACGAUCCUGGUAUUCACCGGUGAUCUUAUUGAUCCCAAAUCUCUGCCCACUCAGUAUUGUGUCUGUUGGGUGAUCAAAGCUUUGCCAGAUUACAUCAGAAGAGUUACCUUGAUCCCUCAGAAUAAGGUUUCCAUUGUCAAGAAGAACUGCAACUAUUGACUUUCUUGGUUUAUUCCAAGUACCAUUUGAUGACCAUUUUGGUUCUCCAAACUUGUUAAGGAGGACUAAAUUUCCAUCCUCUGAUAUCUUGAGCUCUGGAGAUGUAGCACUUGUGACAGGAUUGUCUCGGUUGGCCACCCAGAUAACAGCCUUCUUUGAUGUGGUUCUGAACCAUAUACCAACAUAAAGGUUUCCAGUAUUACCUGGAGAGAAGAAUCCCAGCUCAAAAUUUCCUUCUUUUGAGACAACAGUUGUACUACCAGAAAGAGAUUGGACUCUUGAGAUUGUAUCAGUCAAAGCAGAAGUACUUGUGUAAAGAUGGAAGAUUGAUAAUAUGAGAAAAGAAAAGGAAGAACAUAUCUUCCACUUGCUGGGAGGGGCCAUCCUUUUUGCAUGGAAAUUUGGAUGUGUGGUAUUCUUCUAGUUAAUGCAAAUGCCACAAGGUAGAGAGUUAUUUCUUCCCUCUAUUGUCAUCCUUCUCAUUUGACUUGUCUUCCAAAAUAAUAUUCUUUUUAUGUUGUUAGUCUAGUUUCCUGUGAAUUGACGGAUGCUAUUGUGCCAUCUGGAACAAGCACAACCAUGUGUGAGCACUUGAUAAGAGUUAGACACGACUUGUUCACAAAUAAGUCCAGACACAGAAUGUGAAACGGACAUCCUCUUUUUUUUGACUAAAGAACGGACACCCUCUUUCAAACUCUGAAUUCUUCUCCUAGUUGCUUCUGUUUUACUGCUGUUCUGGUGAUUCAAACCAAAUAAUGUCUUCUUUUAAGCAUCAUAUAUAGCGAUAUAACUCACCUUUAGUAAGUUAUAUAUCAUAUUUGUCCUAGUAGUAAUAUGUUCUUCAAUUGCAACGCUGUUUUGGCCAUUGAAGCAUCAGAUGUUUUUGGUGGUUCAUCUUGUUAUUCAAGUGUAAAAGGCAGAAGCAUGAUAAAGCUGUGCAUCCCCAGGAGCAUAGAUGGUUUAUUUGGCAAUCACUUUUUUUUUCUUUUCAUGUAAUUGCAUAAAAUCUGCUGUGCAUCAUGCUGUAGUUUCGAUUUCAGUUUUACAUCUUUCUUAAUAUUGUUUUUCAUGUGAUUAUGCAUCUGUAGUCAUCAGUCAGUACACCGGCACAGGCUAGUAUUUUUAUUGUGAUUUUGGAACAUCAUUAUUUAUAUUUAUGAAUAUUUUAAUUUGAUAUAUUGAGAAAACUCUAUCUAAACAACAAGAAAAUUCCUUGCCAGCACUUUUUUAAAUCUUCUGAGAAUACAGUACACUUAUAUUUUUCCUCUUUGCCAACGAAGUUAUUACUUUGGGUGUGGAUACUUUUGUAAUUUGUUGCAGCAUGAUGCUUAUAUUUAGUAUGGAAGUUUAGUUUUUAAACUCUGGAAAUUAAAACCUAAUAAAUCUUUUUUUUCAUGGUUACUUACAGCCUAAGAACAUUUUUAAGACAAGAUUAGUAUGUAAGCUAGCUACAUAUUCCUCUAGGUAUGCUUUAGUUGUAUGCCUUAAUUCAUACUGAUUGGGCAGAUAGUGUAAAUCAACUUGAUUAGAACAUGGGAAUCGAAAAUAAAUCUAAUUAUUCUGUGUAUAUUUAUAUGUUCAGACCUUGUAUACAUAGAGUUACUAUGAACUGAACUUUGAUUUGUUUUUCCAGGCCAUGUGCGCCCAGGAAACAGAUUCAUGGAUGCCUUCUGGUUCUUAUCUUCAUAUUGUGUGCAAUGCAUGGAACGCAUGCUUCUGAGUUUUGACUAUUACUUUAAAAACUACUACUACUCUGAUACUUAUUAUCUAUUGCAUGUAGGGUGUAGAUGAAAACAUUAAAUCAAAUUUGACGGUCAUGGUUUCCUUUUUUAAAGAUUAAUGUGCUCAUGUUUAGCCAUUUUUUUAUUAUUGUGUGAAUUUAUUUAUUUUAGAAUUUUUAAGAUUAAUGUGAGGGCUUCUUAUUAGUAUAAACAAAGCUUCAGCCGGGAUUCUUCUACUGGCCUGCCAAAAAACUAUUUUGUAAAUUUACAGGAUAACAAUGGUGUAAUUACUCAGAUGAUGGCAUUUGGCCCUUAAGAAUUUGAAAAAUAUUUAACCAGUGCAGAUGUUAAAGAAAAUAUAGCUACUCCCUCCGUCCUAAAAUAUAAGCAUUUUUUGAACCUUGACAUGGUCUCCGAGAUACUACUUUGACCAACAAUAUCUAUAAAAAUAAGAUGUUUUAAAUAAAA
This 13592-nucleotide long non-coding RNA is filed under the name Oryza sativa (Asian cultivated rice). Its description in RNAcentral is "long non-coding RNA (OSAT_LNC001375)". Lineage: Eukaryota; Viridiplantae; Streptophyta; Magnoliopsida; Poales; Poaceae. The record is from RNAcentral.